GUUGCGGUGGCCGAGGGGUUAAGGCGUUCGACUGGAAAUCAAAUGGGAUCUUCCCGCGCAGGCUCGAAUCCUGCCCGCAACU
Molecule: non-coding RNA, 82 nt
Organism: Nematostella vectensis (starlet sea anemone)
Lineage: Eukaryota; Metazoa; Cnidaria; Anthozoa; Actiniaria; Edwardsiidae
Source: Rfam